CGGGGUGUAGCACAGUUGGCUAGCGCGUCCGCUUUGGGAGCGGGAGGUCGUGAGUUCGAGUCUCACCACCCCGA
Molecule: transfer RNA, 74 nt
Filed under: Deltaproteobacteria bacterium
Lineage: Bacteria; Pseudomonadati; Myxococcota; Myxococcia
Description: tRNA-Pro
Rfam family: tRNA
About the family: Transfer RNA (tRNA) molecules are approximately 80 nucleotides in length.
Source: RNAcentral